This 449-nucleotide ribosomal RNA is filed under the name uncultured bacterium. RNAcentral's name for it is "partial 16S ribosomal RNA". It matches the Rfam family "Bacterial small subunit ribosomal RNA", at positions 29 to 523 of the family's 1533-position model. The record is from RNAcentral.
AACGAACGCUGGCGGCAUGCCUAACACAUGCAAGUCGAACGAGACCUUCGGGUCUAGUGGCGCACGGGUGCGUAACGCGUGGGAAUCUACCCUUGGGUUCGGAAUAACAGUUAGAAAUGACUGCUAAUACCGGAUGAUGACGUAAGUCCAAAGAUUUAUCGCUCAAGGAUGAGCCCGCGUAAGAUUAGCUUGUUGGUGGGGUAAUGGCCUACCCAGGCGACGAUCUUUAGCUGGGCUGAGAGGAUGAUCAGCCACACUGAGACUGAGACACGGCCAAGAGUUGUACGGGGGGCAGUUGUGGGGAAUAUUGGACAAUGGGCGAAAGCUUGAACCAGCAAUGCAGCGUGUGUGAUGAAGGCCUGAGGGUUGUAAAGCUGUUUUACCGGGGGUGAUAAUGACAGAAGCUAUGGAAUAAGCGUUGACUAAGUCCGUGGCUGACGCCGCGGUAA